This 908-nucleotide ribosomal RNA is filed under the name uncultured Actinomycetes bacterium. RNAcentral describes it as "bacterial SSU rRNA". It matches the Rfam family "Bacterial small subunit ribosomal RNA", at positions 8 to 916 of the family's 1533-position model. The record is from RNAcentral. Lineage: Bacteria; Bacillati; Actinomycetota; Actinomycetes.
AGAGUUUGAUCCUGGCUCAGGACGAACGCUGGCGGCGUGCUUAAUGCAUGCAAGUCGCACGAGGCCCCAUCGACGGGUAACCGUCGCGGGGUACUAGUGGCGAACGGGUGAGUAACACGUGAGGAACCUGCCCCGGAGUCCGGGAUAGCCCAGGGAAACCUGGAUUAAUACCGGAUGCCCUCGAUCGGUCGCAUGUCUGGUCGAGGAAAGGUCCGCCGUUCCGGGAUGGCCUCGCGGCCUAUCAGCUUGUUGGUGAGGUAACGGCUCACCAAGGCAACGACGGGUAGCUGGUCUGAGAGGACAAUCAGCCACACUGGGACUGAGACACGGCCCAGACUCCUACGGGAGGCAGCAGCAGGGAAUAUUGCACAAUGGGCGAAAGCCUGAUGCAGCGACGCCGCGUGAGGGAUGAAGGCCUCCGGGUCGUAAACCUCUUUCAGGAGGGAAGAAGCGCAAGUGACGGUACCUCCAGAAGAAGCCCCGGCCAACUACGUGCCAGCAGCCGCGGUAAUACGUAGGGGGCGAGCGUUGUCCGGAUUUAUUGGGCGUAAAGAGCUCGUAGGCGGCUCGGUAAGUCGGCCGUGAAAUCCCGGAGCUCAACUCCGGGAGGUCGGUCGAUACUGCCGUGGCUAGGGUCCGGUAGAGGAGAGUGGAAUUCCCGGUGUAGCGGUGAAAUGCGCAGAUAUCGGGAGGAACACCCGUAGCGAAGGCGGCUCUCUGGGCCGGUACCGACGCUGAGGAGCGAAAGCUAGGGGAGCAAACAGGAUUAGAUACCCUGGUAGUCCUAGCUGUAAACGUUGGGCACUAGGUGUGGCGGAUUGAUUGACGUCUGCCGUGCCGUAGCAAACGCAUUAAGUGCCCCGCCUGGGGAGUACGGUCGCAAGGCUAAAACUCAAAGGAAUUGACGG